GAUGAACGCUGGCGGCGUGCCUAAUACAUGCAAGUCGAGCGAACGGACGAGAAGCUUGCUUCUCUGAUGUUAGCGGCGGACGGGUGAGUAACACGUGGAUAACCUACCUAUAAGACUGGGAUAACUUCGGGAAACCGUAGCUAAUACCGGAUAAUAUUUUGAACCGCAUGGUUCAAAAGUGAAAGACGGUCUUGCUGUCACUUAUAGAUGGAUCCGCGCUGCAUUAGCUAGUUGGUAAGGUAACGGCUUACCAAGGCAACGAUGCAUAGCCGACCUGAGAGGGUGAUCGGCCACACAGGAACUGAGAGACGGUACAGACUCCGACGGGAGGCAGCAGUAGGGAAUCUUCCGCGAUGGGCGAAAGCCUGACGGAGCAACGCCGCGUGAGUGAUGAAGGUCUUCGGAUCGUAAAACUCUGUUAUUAGGGAAGAACAUAUGUGUAAGUAACUGUGCACAUCUUGACGGUACCUAAACAGAAAGCCACGGCUAACUACGUG
Molecule: ribosomal RNA, 497 nt
Filed under: uncultured bacterium
Lineage: Bacteria
Description: partial 16S ribosomal RNA
Rfam family: Bacterial small subunit ribosomal RNA
Source: RNAcentral